Molecule: non-coding RNA, 48 nt
Filed under: unclassified sequences
Description: gut-2 RNA
Rfam family: gut-2 RNA
About the family: gut metagenomes. Environment (Cow rumen (57))
Source: Rfam by way of RNAcentral
AUCCGUUAAGUGAUUGGGCUUAACGAAGGGCUGAGUGGGGCCGGAAAU